Long non-coding RNA from Mesoplodon densirostris (Blainville's beaked whale), 576 nucleotides. RefSeq lists it as uncharacterized. The transcript has 4 exons. Lineage: Eukaryota; Metazoa; Chordata; Mammalia; Artiodactyla; Ziphiidae. The record is from RefSeq and is a predicted model, not a curated record.
GUGUCAAGGAGAUCUGUGAUAAUUCAGUGACCACCAGGGGGCAUCAGGACCUCUGAAUGUCCUAGCCAACCAAGUCCACACUGAAUAAAAAUGAGGUGUGCUCAUCUAGGAACCACUGACCAUGAAUGAGGAAAUCUAAAAGGAGAAGUGGCUUGGGCGUAAGGCUAAAAACCUUACUUUAUGGCAAGAGAAGAAUCCGUUAUUUCAGGCAGGGGGAGCAACACGACAAACUUGCAGAGCAAGCACCUUGUGAAAUGAGCUCACAGCACUGGCUACAGCAUGAAAUUCAUGAGGAGUGGGCUGUCUCACGACUUGGUAGCUGACUUGCAUCAGCGUGAGUGAUUUAAGGGAGAACAAGAGAAGGAAUGCCAAAAGGUAAGCCAUGUCCUUUGUAUUAUCUAAACUCAGAAGUGACAUUCUAUCACCUCUGCCUUAUUCUUUUUGUUGGAAGCAAGUCUAGCUCAAAUCAUACAAGGGCAUGAAUAAACGGGAAGCAGGUGUCAUUGAGGUCCAUAGAGCUUGCCUGCCAGAGAUGGCAAUGGUCAAUUUCUUGACCUUGGUGGAGAUUAUGUAAUU